This 484-nucleotide ribosomal RNA is filed under the name uncultured bacterium. RNAcentral describes it as "partial 16S ribosomal RNA". It matches the Rfam family "Bacterial small subunit ribosomal RNA", at positions 30 to 507 of the family's 1533-position model. The record is from RNAcentral.
AUUGAACGCUGGCGGCAGGCCUAACACAUGCAAGUCGAACGGAAAAAGGGAGCUUGCUCCUGAAUACAGGGGCGGGGGGGAGUGUAAUACCUAGAAAUCUCCCUGCGUGUGGGGUAUAACGUCCGGAGACGGGCGCUAAUACCGCAUGAGCUCUGAGGGAGAAAGGGGGGGAGCUUCGGACCUCACGCUAUCAGAUGCGCCUAGGUCGGAUUAGCUAGUUGGUGGGGUAAAGGCCUACCAAGGCGACGAUCUGUAGCUGGUCUGAGAGGAUGAUCAGCCACACUGGAACUGAGACACGGUCCAGACUCCUACGGGAGGCAGCAGUGGGGAAUAUUGGACAAUGGGCGAAAGCCUGAUCCAGCCAUGCCGCGUGUGUGAAGAAGGCCUUCGGAUUGUAAAGCGCUUUUGGUCGGGAGGAAACGCAUUAGGUUAAUACCUUGCUGUUUUGACGGUACCGACAGAAUAAGCACCGGCUAACUACGUG